Pangasianodon hypophthalmus (striped catfish) is the source of this 1127-nucleotide long non-coding RNA. RefSeq lists it as uncharacterized. The transcript is spliced from 4 exons. NCBI's taxonomy places the organism in Eukaryota, Metazoa, Chordata, Actinopteri, Siluriformes, Pangasiidae. The record is from RefSeq and is a predicted model, not a curated record.
AUUCCAUAGAAAAUCUUAGUGUGUUUUGAAACACAGAUGUUAAAAUCAUAUGUGAUCAUCAAUCAAAAAAAAAAAAAUGUCAGAAACACCUUAUAAAGGCUAACACCCAAAAAUUUCCCAUUCUAGCAGUCUGCCAGGAUAUUUCACAUCUUCAGAAAUCCAGCAAAGGUUUAAAGAACUUCCAAUCUCUCCUUCAAAACUUUAACAGACCAUGGACUUCUGAGCAGACAGCAACGUUAUUAUUAUUUCUGACAACAAGAUUCCUGGAACGUCCACACAAGGCCUUUGAAUCCAAGAUCAUUGGGACAUAACCAUUCUAUCCAAAGACCCAUAGCCGCUGUAGCACCACAGCCUAGAACAAUCUUGCAAACUACACAAGUUGGGGACAGCCCGACUAUCAGUGAUGAUGAAUCAAGUGCUUCAGAUGUGAGCGAUGCCGAUGAUGAUGGUAAUAUGGAAGAAGAAGAGGAGGACAUUCAAGAAGAAGAAAAUAAAGUCAGAGAAGUCGAUAACGAACUAGAGGAGAUCAGCACCGCAUUGAAUGAAUUCUUCCAACCAAAGACUGCUUUAUUGGAAAUCUUGGACAUCUUGAUGAUACAGUUCAAAACCGUCCAGGUAGGGAAUUUGUUCCAUCAUUGUACAGUACCCUAAAAUCCUUGAAUAGGUGUGUCACAGUGAACAUAUAUUUGAUAAGAAAGUUCUAUAUGAUAGAUAUGGCACAGAAACACCUGAAAUACAAUUCAUUUACAAACGCUAAAAAUUAGAACUGAAAAUACUCUGACUUCACCCCGUGAUUUCUGCUAUGGUGAAAACCAGAGUUCUUCAAAUAGCCUGUUGCAUCCAUACACAACUCUGAACCCAUAUUUAACUGAUGCAGUCAACCAGCUGAAUGAAAGUUGAAUGCCGUCACACCAGGUCGUUAGUCACAGCCCUAGUCAGAGUCCCAAUUACAAAGUAACAAAUACACCAGCGUCUCAACAUGACAUAUUCUAAUCAAAGUUCAGAUUGGAAUUAUGUGUAUGUGUAUGGGAACAGAGCAGAUUGGAGAUAUGUAUGUGCAGGAUUAUCAUUAUUAAUCUUUAACCUAGAUAUAAUAUUCUUAGUGACCUUAUUAUUUAAUCAGAAUA